UUAAAUAAAUUCUUUUUAAUUAAUUAAAAUAGGAAGGUAAAAAAAAAGAAUAAAAGUUUAAAUAAAAAAUUAAAACUUAAUCUAAAAAUAAAUUUCUUAAUAAAAAGAACUGAAACAUCUUAGUAUUAAUAAAAAAAAUCUACUUGAUAGUAAUGGCGAAUGAAAUCAAGAUAAACAUAAAAUAAAUUGAGUUAUACAAUCAAUAAAUAUAUCUUACCUAUAAAAAUAGUACUGUGAGGGAAAUUUUUUAAAUAAUUAAAAGAAAUUAUGAACACCAUUUACCUUUUGUAUAAUGGGCUUAUUAGAAAAAAGAUUUGCAAGUUAUAAGACAAAUGAAAAUUAAAAAGUAAAUCUUACCCGAAACUAGACGAUCUAAUUGUGGGCAUCCUAAAAGGGAAAAUUAAUAAAUGUAGAAAAAUUUUUAAAAGACCUGCAAUUAGCAGCGAAAAACUAACCGAGUCUAGAUAUAGCUGGUUUUCCACGAAAAUUAUUUAAGUAAAACUACCUAUAAAGGUAAAACAGACUAUAAGCUCAAAUGUUUAUAGUCAAAAAAUAAAAAAGUUUUAUUAAAAGUUAAUUCGUAAGAUUCCAAAACCUAAGAGUCUAAAAUUAUAAAGACAUUGAAAAAAUAGGCUUAGAACCUGCCAAAUUUGAAAGAUUACGUAAUAGUUUACCCAUUAAAAAAUCUUUGAACAAAAUCUAACCUCUUGGAAGAAUAAACUUUAAAUUAAUAUCGUAGUGGAAUAUUCUAUAAAAAAAAAUAAAAGAAAAAAUAUAAGCAUCAGUAUAAAAAAUUAUAUCUAAUGAUUCUUAUUUUAAUAAAUGAAUAAGGUAAAACAGACUCUCAAAAAAUAAGGAGAAAAAUUCAUAUCACUAGAAAAGAUUUUAAAAAAACUGUACUUACCUAAAUCAAGAAGAUAUAAAGAAAGGGAAUAAUUCUUUAAAAGGAACUCGGCAAAAUUAAUAUCGACUGUUUACCAAAAACAUAGCCCUUGAAAUAAUCAAAGGUGUGACCUGCCCAAUGGCCUUCAAUUUAAGAAAAAUAAAACUUUUCUAAAAAAGCUUAAAGGACGCAGUAUCUUGACUGUGGUAAUGUAGCAUAAUCACUCGCCACUUAAUUGGUGGAUAGUAUGAAUGGUUAAACGAAUAUUGCACUGUCUCUAAAAGAAAUCCCAUGAAAUUAAAAUAAUAGUAAAGAUGCUAUUUAAAGCUGUAAGACGAAAAGACCCUAUAGAGCUUAACUACAUUAUGUGUUUUAAAAAAUUAAAUAUAAACUUAAAAAAAUACACAUCUUGGUAGUUUAGUUGGGGCGACUGUCUUUUAAAAUAAACAAAGACAAGCAAUGUUAAUAAUAAACUUAUUGUAUAAUAUAUAAAUUUAACAAUUAUAAAAAUAGGCUAUAAUGACCCAUUAGAUUUUAAUAACAAAACUAAUGAUUAAUAAAUAAAAGCUACCUUAGGGAUAACAGGAUAAUUUUGUUUUAGAGAUCUAAUCGAAGACAAAGUUUG
Molecule: ribosomal RNA, 1508 nt
Filed under: Nemopsis bachei
Lineage: Eukaryota; Metazoa; Cnidaria; Hydrozoa; Anthoathecata; Bougainvilliidae
Description: large subunit ribosomal RNA
Rfam family: Bacterial large subunit ribosomal RNA
Source: RNAcentral